UCUACAUGUGAUUGAAGAUAUGAGUGCCUAAAGUAGGUAGGGUAUCUUAUUACAGAAUUCAUUUGGUUAAGCAAUAACACUUUCCUCUCUUUCAGUCCUGCCCCUGUUGAAGCAACUUCAGCAAACUGUCCUGAAGUUUUACUUCUCAAGUGAAGCCCAAUGAAAUUUUUGAUACUUGGCAGCCCACAAGUCAUGAAUGACACAUUGUGACUCACGGACAUCUUGGCUUUUUGCAUCCUGUACACAGACACAUGACGAAGACGACUGAUGAGGCUUUUUGAAGCAAAAAGAUGAGUUUGAGUCCCAAAUGAGCACUAACAAACACACUUGGGGAUGAUGAAGUAUACCUGAGUAAUACCUAUAAAGUCAACGAUUUAAAUGGGGAUAUUUGAUUUCCUCUAACCAAAUAACAGAUUACUGUACUUCCUUUUGUGGUUGCCAUGUGUAGUGUGUACAUUGUACACACUCCACAUCCCUCCUUGAUCUACCACUGAACUUCAUCCCCAACCCCACAUACCCUUUUGGUGGCACUGGGGAUUAAACCCAGGGCUUUGACACUAACCUACAUCCCUAGCCUUUUUCAAAUUUUAUUUUAUUUAAUUUUAAUUUUUUUUUUUUUUUGGUACCAGGGUUUGAACUCUGGACCUUGCACUUGCAAAGCAUGGGCCAGAACCACUGAGCUAAAUUCCCAGCCCUUCAAAUUUUAUUUUGAGACAGGGUCUUACUAAAUUGCCUAGGUUGGCCUUGAAUUUGUGAUCCUCCUACCUUAGCCUCCUGAGUGGCUGGGAUUACAGGUGUGUGCCACCACUAUUUACUCACAUUGGAAUUCUCUUAAGUGUAUUGGUCCAAACAAAAAGUUAGGAAACCAUGUAUAGAUGGGAAAGUGUAAUUAAAACCCUUAAUUUGGCUGGAUUUUGUUUUUCAGCGAAUGAGCUAAGUGAAAAGGAAAAUAUCUAAAGAAUAUAAGGUCCUACCAAUAAUCUAAUUUUUUUUGGUACCAGGGAAUCGAACUCAGGACCUUGUGCUUGUGAGGCAGGAUUUGGAACCACUGAGCUAAAUCCCCAGCCCAAUAAUCUAAUUUUUGAAAAAGACAAAACUAUGCAAAAUUUCCAAAUGAAGUCAAAAGGGCUACCUCAGAGGGUUUGUGAAGAGCCUGGCAAUGUUCCACACCUUGGUAUAAUAAAAAGUUCCUGCUGCUGUGAGGCUUAUAGCCCAUAGUAAAAGACAAGUAAAGACAUAAAUUUUAGGAUGAGAGGUGAUAAGUAACAAGAAGAGAUACAAAGUGAAGAAAAGGACUAGAGAAUGACUGGGCAGGGUAGGAGAUGGCGUCUAUGACAGCCUCCUACAGGUGGGAUGAGCUUUGGAUGGGUGGCAAGUGCUUCCUUGUUUGAGAAGCAGGAGGACUGGAGUGUCUGGUGUAGAGAGAAAGAGAGGGAACUCAGGAGGCGUUCUGAAGAUAUGGGCCAGUGAGUGUCACCUAUGACCUCAGAAGCCAUGUGACAAUUUUGAGUUUUAUUCUGAGAAAGAUGGGAACCAAAGAGGGGUCACCAGCCUACACACUCUGACAAUCCAUCUGUCCCCAGCAAUCCCAUUGUAAUCUCUUAUCUGUAAUCUCUUAUUGUUCGUCGAGAUGAUGUAGAGUCCUAAACAG
This 1651-nucleotide long non-coding RNA is filed under the name Heterocephalus glaber (naked mole-rat). RNAcentral's name for it is "lncRNA (ENSHGLG00100038793.1)". The record is from RNAcentral. Lineage: Eukaryota; Metazoa; Chordata; Mammalia; Rodentia; Bathyergidae.